This is a long non-coding RNA of Schistocerca nitens (vagrant locust), 915 nucleotides long. RefSeq lists it as uncharacterized. The transcript is spliced from 5 exons. NCBI's taxonomy places the organism in Eukaryota, Metazoa, Arthropoda, Insecta, Orthoptera, Acrididae. The record is from RefSeq and is a predicted model, not a curated record.
UUUCUCUCGGUCUGUACGGUGUAUAAGGAAUUAUGGAUUAUCGAAAUGGUGAUUUCUUGUUCCGCUUUCAAUUGUACGAAGCGGUGGAGUAAGGAGAGUGACUUACCAUUUCACAGGUUUCCUCUAAAGCACCCAGAGCUACUAAAUACGUGGAUUACUUCCGUGAAGCGGAAAGAUUUUAAUCCUACGUCUUGCAGUUACUUUGCGGAAACCAUUUCCGACAAGAUGAUUACGUAGUGAACCCUGGAACGUGGAAGAAACGUCUCAAACCCGAAGCAGUGCCAUCAGUUUUUGACUUUCCGACACAUUUGAUGCCACCAAAUAAACAGCCACGACGACAUGUUGUUACGAUUUUGAGUGCCAACGAUGAUUCUCCAUUUGAGCGUUCUGUCAUGGAAUCCGUGCUCGAUUUUCCCAUUGCAGACGCUACUGAUUGCGGGGAGAAUGUUGUCAAUGAGAAUUCUUCCGUGGAAAGCAUGUCCCACUUAUCCAAUGCAGAAGCUGUGAAUUGUGUCGAAAACAGUGCAGUUGGUUCUUCAGUAAUUGAUUGUGGUAUACAGUCGAAAGUAGAAAUGGAAGACAUGGCGACCGAAACUUGCAUUAUAUUUCUUUUUUCCUCAGACAUUGUGCACUAAUUAAAACGUAAACUGAAGUGUGUCCGUGAAAAACUUCGAAGAAGGAAGUGUUUUCCAUUGAUGACAUCAUAAGUUCAUUGAAGGAGAAGGGGCAUCUUCCUGAGAAGUUACAUCAAUCAUCAGAAAGGAACACAAGUGGAAUUAGUGUGCAUUGUAGUGAACACCUCUCUCUCGUCAAAGGGUUAUAUGUCACAUAUGGAACUGAAAUUAUCAAGUUACGAUGACAAAGGAAGGAAUUAACAUUAAGGAAUCUUACUUCACAGAAAUUAUGUAACAAUGG